This 271-nucleotide long non-coding RNA is filed under the name Mytilus galloprovincialis (Mediterranean mussel). Lineage: Eukaryota; Metazoa; Mollusca; Bivalvia; Mytilida; Mytilidae. The record is from RNAcentral.
AUAUUACUCGAUUUAUUUCACUUGACUGGGCGGAGUUUAACCAAUUCGCUCACAAUAAACCAGUCCAUCUAUCGAUAGGUGUUUGAGGAUAAACUCAUCAAUGAAGUCCAGUCAUUGUAAAUUCCUUUGAUGAUAGUGAAAGGUGAUUAAAAAUCAGUAAUAAUUAUAACAGCAAUCAUUCUUAUCACACACAUCUUCAAAUAGACUGUCCUUAUUCAAAUUAAAACAGAAGCUCCGCCCGAUCAGUUGAAAUAACAUUGGUAAUAUAAAC